CACCACAACAUGAAAUGCUUUUUUUCCCCCCUCAACAUGCACAGGUUGACAGAAAAAAAAGGAAUGUGCAAUGGAGAUUGUUAAUACGGACAUAUCCUAAGACAACUGUUGGGAAAAUAAAUGCACAUCACUUUGACAUGAAGGACAAUUAACAGUGCCAUGUAUUACUGAGGACAGGUGUUUUAUCCUGUUCAUCACCAGAAGUAAUCCUUUGAACAAGAAACUCUUCCCAAGACCUUGAAGAUCAGAUGUGAUUCAGUAAGGUAGAGAGGCGGGCGUGGAGAGAAUCAAACAGCCCAUUUUGAGACCAUGAAAAGACUCUGGAAAUACAAUUCCAGUGAGUCCUGCCUAUAACACUUUUGAUGCCCAGAUCACUAGCAGCAGUACUACAAGAACCAACGGGUGGAUGCUGUGGGGGGGUCCAGGCAGCUCUGUGGAACAGUCUCCAAUGGGCUAGUAGGAUGAGAAGGUCCAGGGGUAGUUUGGGAAACGAGGAGAAACAUCACCUCCCAAGACGGUAAACCUACUGAAAAGACGAUUCAAGCUCCAGAAGGAC
Molecule: long non-coding RNA, 556 nt
Filed under: Geospiza fortis (medium ground-finch)
Lineage: Eukaryota; Metazoa; Chordata; Aves; Passeriformes; Thraupidae
Description: lncRNA (ENSGFOG00000006580.1)
Source: RNAcentral